RNAcentral lists this ribosomal RNA (470 nucleotides) under uncultured bacterium. RNAcentral describes it as "SSU rRNA". It matches the Rfam family "Bacterial small subunit ribosomal RNA", at positions 26 to 518 of the family's 1533-position model. The record is from RNAcentral.
AGGACGAACGCUGGCGGCGUGCUUAACACAUGCAAGUCGAGCGGAAAGGCCCUUCGGGGUACUCGAGCGGCGAACGGGUGAGUAACACGUGAGUAAUCUGCCCCUAGCUCUGGGAUAGCUCCGGGAAACCGGGAUUAAUACCGGAUACGACCACUUUAGACAUCUGUUGUGGUGGAAAGAAUUUUGGCUAGGGAUGAGCUCGCGGCCUAUCAGCUUGUUGGUGGGGUAACGGCCUACCAAGGCGACGACGGGUAGCCGGCCUGAGAGGGCGACCGGCCACACUGGGACUGAGACACGGCCCAGACUCCUACGGGAGGCAGCAGUGGGGAAUCUUGCGCAAUGGACGAAAGUCUGACGCAGCAACGCCGCGUGAGGGACGAAGGUUUUCUGAAUUGUAAACCUCUUUCGACAGGGACGAUAAUGACGGUACCUGUAGAAGAAGCACCGGCCAACUAUGCGCCAGCAGCCGC